RNAcentral lists this long non-coding RNA (1658 nucleotides) under Ananas comosus (pineapple). RNAcentral's name for it is "long non-coding RNA (ACOM_LNC024337)". Lineage: Eukaryota; Viridiplantae; Streptophyta; Magnoliopsida; Poales; Bromeliaceae. The record is from RNAcentral.
GAGUAGUCUAAUGUUGUUCCGGUUUUUGUUCUUGUGAACAUUGACAUCGAUUCGUUCCAAAUUUACACUCUCGGGGCAUAAUAGAACAAUAUAAUUAGGUUUUACGCUUUAUUAGAUAGAAUGAGAAAAAGUACCCGUUGCAAAGUUAUACUGUUAGGGUGCAACUGAGUAGUCUAAUGUUAUUCUGAUUUUUAUUCUUGUGAACGUUGACAUCGAUUCGUUCCAAAUUUACAAUCUCGGGGCAUAAUAGAACAAUAUAAUUAGGUUUUACUCUUUGUUCGAUAGAAUGCGAAAAAGUACUCGUUGUAAAGAUAUACUGUUAGGGCGCAACUGAGUAUUCUAAUGUUGAUCUGGUUUUGGUUCUUAUGAAUGUAGACAUCAAUUCAUUCCAAAUUUGCACUCUCGGGGCAUAAUAGAACAAUAUAAUUAGGUUUUACACUUUGUUCGAUAGAAUGAGAAAAAGUACUCGUUGUAAAGUUAUACUGUUAGGGCGCAACGAAGUAUUCUAAUGUUGUUCCGGUUUUGGUUCUUGUGAACGUUGACAUCGAUUCACUCAAAAUUUACACUCUCGGGGCAUAAUAGAACAAUAUAAUUAGGUUUUACUUUUUGUUCGAUCGAAUGAGAAAAAGCACUCGUUGUAAAGUUAUACNGUUUUUGUUCUUGUGAGCGUUGACAUCGAUUCGUUCCAAAUUUACACUCUCUAGGCAUAAUAGAACAAUAUAAUUAGGUUUUACGCUUUCUUCAAAAAAAUGAGAAAAAUUACUCGUUGCAAAGUUAUACAGUUAGGGCGCAACUGAGUAGUCUAAUGUUAUUCCGGUUUUUGUUCUUAUGAGCGUUGACAUCGAUUCGUUCCAAAUUUACAAUCUCUGGGCAUAAUAGAACAAUAUAAUUAGAUUUUACGCUUUCUUCGAUAAAAUGAGAAAAAGCACUCGUUGCAAAGUUAUUCUGUUAUGGCGCAACUGAGUUGUUUAAUGUUGUUCCGGUUUUUGUUCUUGUGAGCGUUGAUAUCGAUUCGUUCCAAAUUUACACUCUCUGGGCAUCAUAGAACAAUAUAAUUAGGUUUUACGAUUUUUUUUAUAAAAUGAGAAAAAUUACUCGUUGCAAAGUUAUACUGUUAUGGCGCAACUGAAGUGCCUAAUGUUGUUCCAGUUUUUGUUCUUGUGAGCGUUGACAUCGAUUCGUUCCAAAUUUACACUCUCUAGGCAUAAUAGAACAAUAUAAUUAGGCUUUACGCUUUCUUCGAUAAAAUGAGAAAAAGUACUCGUUGCAAAGUUAUACUGUUAGGGCGCAACAGAUUUGUCUAAUGUUGUUCCGGUUUUUGUUCUUAUGAGCGUUGACAUCGAUUCGUUCCAAAUUUACACUCUCUGGGCAUAAUAGAACAAUGUAAUUGGAUUUCACGCUUUUUUCGAUAAAAUGAGAAAAAGCACUUGUUGCAAAGUUAUUCUGUUAUGGCGCAACUGAGUUGUUUAAUGUUGUUCGGAUUUUUGUUCUUGUGAGCGUUGACAUCGAUUCGUUCUAAAUUUACACUCUCGGGGCAUAAUAGAACAAUAUAAUUAGGUUUUACGCUUUCUUCGAUAAAAUAAGAAAAAGCACUCGUUGCAAAGUUAUACUGUUUGGGCGCAACUGAGUAGUCUAAUGUUAUUCCGAUUUUUGUUCUU